Molecule: long non-coding RNA, 2095 nt
Organism: Heterocephalus glaber (naked mole-rat)
Lineage: Eukaryota; Metazoa; Chordata; Mammalia; Rodentia; Bathyergidae
Source: Ensembl
GGCCUUUUCCACCCUUGAAAAGGACCCAGGUGGAGAGGCACCAGACAUCUUCACUCCCAAGUCAUCCUUCUAAAGGCCAGCUGAUCUGGGAAUAGACUAAACUAUUGUCGGACAUUUAAUUUUCAAGGAGAGAGCAAAGUGGCCGGGAGACUUUAAAAAUUGCUCUCAGCUUUAUGUGCAACUGCCUGUCUGGCUGGAGGUCACCACCAAACCCCACGUCUGUGAAGACUCCUGGGCUUAAAGGUGCAGGCAGAGCAUUUUUUCCUGGAGCUGAAGAAAAUUGCAAAGCUGAUCCUGCUUUCUUCAGAAUGGACUCAGCUCUACAACAGAACUCCAGUCCUUAUUUACCGGCAGGCUUGUGGCCGGCCAGGCCCCUCCAAUGGCCUUACCACUAACAGAGAACAAUGCAGAGAACAAGGUAUCAUCCCUAGAAGGAUUCCCUGCAAAGUCCUGGCAUAUUACUCCUGACAGCUUAGAGUUACAGAAAGACACAGCUCCACAUAAAUACCUGGUCUUGAAAAUUGCUGUUUCGCCAGAAGCAGACAUGGCCAAAGUAGCCACAAAAUGUGUUUAAGCAUAGGCUGUGCCAAACUCACGGGGCUAUGACAGAAUAAUACUAAUAUUGAUUGGACAUCCAUUAUGUCACACACUCUCUAUUUGUUCUUCUACAUCUACAGCAGCUCUGCAAAGGAGGAAUUAUGACACCAUGGCUGUCAGUAUGACACAAUGGCCAAGGCUUCUGGGACCAAAGCCAGUAGAUGAGGUCACUGUGGCUUCAAGGGACUUUGGAGUAAGUCUCGAAGGAGGCAGGAAAUGCUGAUGAUCACCAGUUUACAGGGUACACGGGAACCCUGGCAGCAGCUGCUAAGGACUCUGGAGCCUACGUGACUUCCCAUAUCAGAGCCUCCCCAAUGAUCAGAUUUUUACAAGACUGGGCACUGGAUUUCUACCAUUAUAAAGACACUUUCAGGUCACUUUAUCUGGGGUCUUGGUUAUGAGCAAUUUUUAGAUCUAUGUGAAAUUAGUCGAGAUGUCGUAGGUUACUUUACAUAUACAGCAACCCCCCUUUUCCAAAAUAUAAUUGUAAAGAAAGAAAUAAAGAGUGGCUAAAGUUCUAUUUUCACUGGACACUGAUGCUUUUUAUUUCUGAGAAUGGCAACCAGGCUAAGACGGUAGUUAUUGGCUCUUAUCAUAUCCACAUUUCCAAUGAGCAUAGUUCCUGAUAUAUCAACCCACAGUCAAUACAAGGAUGCAAAGAAAGAGAAGCAGACUGCUUUUAAAAGCAGAUAAAUCAACAAUACCAAGAUAGAACAGUCAGAGAAGAGACUGCAAAAAUAUAAGAAAUAGAUAUGGUAAUUUAAAAUCAAUACAUAAAGUCCAGGACUCAUAUACAUGGACAAUCUUUCACCCCUAAAAACCUCUUAAGGAUAGCAAAAACAUAGCUUGACAUAAUAAUGGAUGUCUAGAAUAUUUUUGAAUCAUAUUCUACUUUCAAAGUACAUAACUAAUUAAUAAAUAUUUCCAGAGCAUUAAUCAUCUUGAAACUGUGGUUAUUUUAAAUCUCUCAAUUUAUGUGAUGUCCCACACAUAAGCUAUUUUGUACAGUUCAUUGUUAAAUAAGCUAUACCUGAGUGUCAUAUAUGUACUCAGAGUUACAAUCAUGUAUUCUAUACCUACUUUGUCAGGCCUUGCCCAUCUGUAAUGUCCAUGAAUCACACUCCCUGGAUAUGUGUGUCUAAUAACUCCUGGCCUAAUUUGGACCCUGACAAAUAAACAGCUCAUUACAACAUUCCAUAAAACUUCUAGGAAAGGAAAGUUAUAUGCAAUGUGGAUGAAAGAAAAACAUCACUGUAAUUAUAAGGAGCCAAUGCUAAAUGAUAACAGAUAAACCACGUAAAAACUGGACAAAGAGGAUGAGUCAGUUGUCUGCCGAGAAGCAAAUCCAAACCUUUUCACAUUUGUGAAAAGGUGCAGAAAGCACAAUGUAAAAGAGCAACAAGCUAUCACUCCUCACCUAUCAGGUUAGCAAAAGUAAAAGAGAACUGGUAAUAUGUGCUGCUGACAAAGAUAUGGGGAAAGUUUCCUUCACACAUGC